Molecule: ribosomal RNA, 301 nt
Filed under: uncultured bacterium
Lineage: Bacteria
Description: partial 16S ribosomal RNA
Rfam family: Bacterial small subunit ribosomal RNA
Source: RNAcentral
CAGCCGCCGCGGGAAUACGGAGGGAGCUAGCGUUGUUCGGAAUUACUGGGCGUAAAGCGCACGUAGGCGGCUUUGUAAGUUAGAGGUGAAAGCCUGGAGCUCAACUCCAGAAUUGCCUUUAAGACUGCAUCGCUUGAAUCCGAGAGAGGUAAGUGGAAUUCCGAGUGUAGAGGUGAAAUUCGUAGAUAUUCGGAAGAACACCAGUGGCGAAGGCGGCUUACUGGCUCAUACUGGACGCUGAGGUGCGAAAGCGUGGGGAGCAAACAGGAUUAGAUACCCCUGUAGUCCCUGUCUCUUAUAC